Molecule: long non-coding RNA, 1922 nt
Organism: Lolium rigidum
Lineage: Eukaryota; Viridiplantae; Streptophyta; Magnoliopsida; Poales; Poaceae
Exons: 4
Source: RefSeq, a predicted model, not a curated record
UCGCAGCCGUCCCCCGUUAGAUUCACCUCGUGAGCCAGGUCCCCUUCUCUCCUCCAGCUCCAUAUCGCUGCGCGCUCACCGUCACUCCCAUCGUUACCCGCGGUGGCGGAUCCACCGUGCCCAUGCCGAGAUGGACGUCCUCGGCGGUGGCGGCGCCCGUCCUGGGGCACAUCUAUCUUCUCCAGACGGCACCAGAUCCCCCCUCGCCCCGGCUCCCUGAACUGGUGACUUCACCGAGUCCGCGCGGCCCGAGUCAUACGGCAUCAGAUCGAGACGAUGCCGGAUUCAGGUGUGUAGCCCGAGCCAACACUGGAGCAUGAUCUGGACGGGUCGGAGGUGGAUCACAACAUCGAUAUGUUGCCUCUGAAUUCGCUUACGGCGGGCGGCUACAAAGCCACGACGAAAUCGCUUAUGCAUUCUCCUCUCAGAUCCCAUCGAACCUCUUUCCCUCGAUUUCUCUCUCGUGAAUCCCAGCAGACGACGACGUCGACGGUACGUUGCCUCCGUAGCGGAGGACCUGCGGAUUGCCUUUCGAGUCUUCGGCUGGGUCUUCCUCACCGACACCGGCGUAGGCACCGACCGGACUUCACCGACAAGUACUACUCUACGCGGACAAGAAGAACCCCAAGGAGAAUCUCUGGGUUGUGAUGUAGCGCCCGGUGGAGGUUGUCAUGGCAGAGGCAAGGCCUCCAACCGGGUCAGUCACUGCUCCACCUCUUCAUUGUUAACUGACUGCAAUUUGCUACUCCUUGCUUGUGACGUGAAAUUAAAUUAUGUUGACUAUGUUUUGUCUACUGGAAUAUGCAUCUGAUUAUGAUAGUUCUGCUAAAAUUAGCAUUCUUUUUGUUGCAAAGAAAAUGUAAAUUAAGACCAAUUAUUUUAAGCAUAGUGUUUUAGCUUACCUCUUUUUGAGUACCAUGCGAACUGUUUUAUUUGCAGUACUGAGAAUAUUUCCACUGGUAUUGAUCAGAACAUCUCUAGUCACAGUAAGAAGUAGCAGAAUUUGGUUACAGUAAGUGAUGUUUUUAAUUUGGUUAUUAUACUACUCCCUCCGGUUCAUAUUAAUUGACUCUAAUAUGGAUGUAUCUAGACACAUUUUAGUUCUAGAUACAUCCAUAUUGAAGUCAAUUAAUAUGGAUCGGAGGGAGUAGAAUAAUGCAGUGACAUGAGAUGAGAUGUUUGAAAACCUUGAAACUUGCUGUUGCAGGAUCUAUGCCUGCUGUUUGUUGUACAUUAUUAUUCUCCCGAAAACUUGUAGGGCUGUAGCAUCUCCUCACUAAUGCUAGUUUCAUGCACAAGCAGUUCUACCUAGACUUGUUCUGUGAGAACGGAUUGCGCAAAUGAUGUUCAGUCUUAACUUCCUCUCUGGUCUUCCUUUUUCAGAAUUGAUGGUUGCAUGUAUGCAUCAGAUAUCUCUGUUACUGCCAUGGUGUGCCAUGGUGAACUGCAUGUGACAUAUUAUAUAAUUCUCUUGCGUUAGCAUAAUUAAGAUACUCUUUUCUGGCCUGCUUCUGCUUGCAAUAUGGCAACUCAUGUCAAAGUUUUCAGGGCUAUUUUUUUCUAUUUCUUCUCAGUUUGAUAGUAAGAGUGUUAUUAUGCAAUUAUAGUUUCCGGCAAGUUUUCUUAAAAAUAAAAUCCUUACUUGCUUAUUAGGCGAUUUCGUUUUGCCAAGUUGAGAAAGCAAAGGAAGAUAUGCUGAACCAGCUAUACAGCUCAAUAAGGAUAGCUUUGAUGAAGGCAGCAAAGCUGUGUACAGAACCAAGCCGAGUACUCCUGACCAGGUCCACAUGCGUUUCUAGAAAUGUUCAGUUAACCUUGCAAUGACGGUGGACAAUAAAUGGCUGAGAAGAGUCCUUGUUAUUUCUGCAAGCAAUGCAUUUUUUGGUUGCUGGUUCUUAUGAAAUAUUGUUUUGUGUAGUGAA